UACGGAGGGUGCAAGCGUUAUUCGGAAUCAUUGGGCGUAAAGCGCGUGUAGGCGGCUUGGUAAGUCAGGUGUGAAAGCUCCGAGCUUAACUCGGAAAGUGCACUUGAAACUGCCAGGCUUGAGUCCGGGAGAGGAAGGUGGAAUUCCCAGUGUAGAGGUGAAAUUCGUAGAUAUUGGGAGGAACAUCGGUGGCGAAGGCGACCUUCUGGACCGUGACUGACGCUGAGACG
Molecule: ribosomal RNA, 230 nt
Filed under: uncultured bacterium
Lineage: Bacteria
Description: partial 16S ribosomal RNA
Rfam family: Bacterial small subunit ribosomal RNA
Source: RNAcentral